RNAcentral lists this ribosomal RNA (253 nucleotides) under uncultured bacterium. Its description in RNAcentral is "partial 16S ribosomal RNA". It matches the Rfam family "Bacterial small subunit ribosomal RNA", at positions 524 to 776 of the family's 1533-position model. The record is from RNAcentral.
UACGUAGGGGGCAAGCGUUGUCCGGAUUUAUUGGGCGUAAAGAGCGUGUAGGCGGCCAGGCAGGUCCGUUGUGAAAACUCGAGGCUCAACCUCGAGACGUCGAUGGAAACCGUCUGGCUAGAGUCCGGAAGAGGAGAGUGGAAUUCCUGGUGUAGCGGUGAAAUGCGCAGAUAUCAGGAAGAACACCUAUGGCGAAGGCAGCUCUCUGGGACGGUACUGACGCUGAGACGCGAAAGCGUGGGGAGCAAACGGG